This 371-nucleotide transfer-messenger RNA is filed under the name Alphaproteobacteria bacterium. It matches the Rfam family "Alphaproteobacteria transfer-messenger RNA". Rfam says of the family: Bacterial tmRNA, also known as 10Sa RNA or SsrA, is named for its dual tRNA and mRNA-like properties. Its role is to liberate the mRNA from a stalled ribosome. To accomplish this part of the tmRNA is used as a reading frame that ends in a translation stop signal. Lineage: Bacteria; Pseudomonadati; Pseudomonadota; Alphaproteobacteria. The record is from RNAcentral.
AACCUUGGUUUUUUUUCUCAAAGCGGCUAUGAUAGGCGGUGCCGGUCGCACCGGCUAUGACGAUAAACGCAUUGUGGAAUAAGCAGGACGGACCCGGGGGCAGUGCCCGGCGCCUCCACCAUCAUCAGCACCGGUUGGCCUUGGCCACCAGUCGAAUUAUGGGGGCGAGCCAGGAUCGACGUAUGUGGUAAAGGCAAUGUUUUCGUUCGGCAUGGUACCACCGAUAUCGGGCCAUCGAGUAGUUGCAAAUGACAACAAUGCUCCGGUUGCAGUUGCUGCCUAACGGCGGUUGCUAAAACCAAUUUAAAGUCCAGUGAGUUGAGCCUUGCUGGCGGGGUUUUGGGCGCACCUGGCAACAGAAGCGUCCUCCU